AGAACUUUGAAGAGAGAGUUCAAGAGUACGUGAAACCGUUCAGGGGUAAACCUGAGAAACCCGAAAGUUCGAAUGGGGAGAUUCAUCCGCAUUGACGCUGGCUUCGCUGUGGCAUUAGGACGAUGCAGAGGGGUUGUUGUAACUUCGGUUCUCUCCCAUUCGCGCACGUCGUCGCAGCGUUUAUGUCCGGUGUCGGCGUGGUGCACUUCUCCCCUAGUAGGACGUCGCGACCCGUUGGGUGUCGGACUAAGGCCCGGUGCGGUUGCCCGUCGCGGUGGAUCGAUUAUCGCCAUGACAGACCCCCGGUGUUCUAUCCCGUCCGACCGCCUCUGACGGUAGGUGCGAUGGUAUUCGGCCGCAAAAUCUAUUCGAACGAAAAAAUUGUGCGUCAUUGGCUCGUCGCAAGCGCGAUCAGCGUAACUGGGUUGUACGGACUUUGCGCCGUCCUCGGGCCUGAUCAGCUGUUGGCAGACGAUGUCCUCUGACCGGCCGCUUACCUGUUUGCGACGCUUUUGCUUUGGGUACUCUCAGGACCCGUCUUGAAACACGGACCAAGGAGUCUAACAUGUGCGCGAGUCAUUGGGACAGAUAAAACCUAAAGGCGAAAUGAAAGUGAACGUUGACCUUGCGUCGACAGAGGGAGGAUGGGCUGCGCAAAGCAGCCUCGCACUCCCGGGGCGUCUCGCUCUCAUUGCGAGGAGAGGCGCACCCAGAGCGUACACGUUGGGACCCGAAAGAUGGUGAACUAUGCCUGGUCAGGACGAAGUCAGGGGAAACCCUGAUGGAGGUCCGUAGCGAUUCUGACGUGCAAAUCGAUCGUCGGAACUGGGUAUAGGGGCGAAAGACUAAUCGAACCAUCUAGUAGCUGGUUCCCUCCGAAGUUUCCCUCAGGAUAGCUGGCACUCGGAUCGAGACUUUUUCGAACGUACCUUUUCUUGAGUCUCAUCUGGUAAAGCGAAUGAUUAGAGGCCUUGGGGCCGAAACGACCUCAACCUAUUCUCAAACUUUAAAUGGGUGAGAUCUCUGGCUUGUUUGA
Molecule: ribosomal RNA, 1036 nt
Filed under: Euplaniceps ornatula
Lineage: Eukaryota; Metazoa; Arthropoda; Insecta; Hymenoptera; Pompilidae
Description: eukaryotic LSU rRNA
Rfam family: Eukaryotic large subunit ribosomal RNA
Source: RNAcentral